This 2918-nucleotide unclassified non-coding RNA is filed under the name Hevea brasiliensis (rubber tree). The record is from RNAcentral. Lineage: Eukaryota; Viridiplantae; Streptophyta; Magnoliopsida; Malpighiales; Euphorbiaceae.
ACCUGCCCAAACAGAAUUGGAAGUUACAAGAUUGGUUUGAGAACCACAGAUAGAUUUCCAUCUGGUUCAGAUAAACGUGCAGUUGAAGCUUCAUAAACAUUUCAUCUUCACCAAAUUGUGCCAGCAGGUUAAACACAACCGGUUCUUGAAAAGGUAAACAACAAAAAAUAAUGAUGAGAAAAUUAAAUGAACGGGUCUAGCCCCUAUUUUCCACAUAAUCAGAUCGGCACUAACAACAAAUUUACAAGCCCAUUCCUUUCACACUUCAACUUUGCUUCUUACCAAACCAUCUCAUACAUGAAUUCACUCCUCCACAAAUUGAAAUGAAGGUUAAGCAUUUCACAUAUGAUUUAUUAAAAGAUUAACUACUUGGAAAUAAUUGCAGCACAGUGUCCCCUAGAGACUGAUAUAUGAUGCCUGGGGCUGAUAUUCAGUCCUAGCACCAAUACUUAAAGCAUAACCAUCAGUUGUAUAACACAGGAACGAGAGAAUCGGUUUAUUAAGCAAAGGUUUCUUAGAAUGGAGCUUUGUUGGAAAGAGACAGCUUGUGAAUCAAGGAGACAAAGAAAAGGCAGAUGAAACAACAUCCAAAGAAUAUUCUUGAUGAGUUCACUCUAGAUCUAGAGGCUUUUGGUUGAGGAAAGGAGAAAUUCUUAUUUGGACUCCAUUCACCGCAAACCAUAGAUAUAAACACUUGUCAGACCUACAAGUGGAUUUCACUUCUUAUCUCUACCAUCCAUGGCAAACUAGAUUCACCUUAAAUUUUGACAGAAAGAAGGAACAUUUCCAUUUUUCUACAUUUGAUAGGAGAUUAAGAUUGAGUGCGUCUCUUCAUGACACUGCAUUCCUAUACAAAGAUCAAAGCUGUUGAGGCAAAAUGCAUACCUUGAUGCCCCCAAGAUUCAUUGUAUCAUCUGCACGACCAUGUGCACGAUAGUAUCCCCUAGAAGUAUGCUCAAAAACAUCCCCAUGCCUUCGAAGAAUCUGAGUAGGUGAUAUCAAUGUCUGAAGACUCUGAAAUGCUUAGUCAACAAACUAGUACAAAGGUGCACAGGGAAAGCACUUACCUUUCCAUUCCAAACUGGCAUUCCCUUAUAAUAAACAUUAUAGUGAUUUGCAUUCAGCAGUGAACUUGAAGCUCCAAACAUGAGGGGACCAAGUGCCAGCUCACCCAUAACUGGUACAUUUUGUGGAAAUGGAUGGCCAUCAUCACCAAGAAUAAACAAGCUGCAGCCCAUUGCUGGUGUGCUAAAAGCAGCCAAUGACUGAGGCUGCAAUAAAGACCCUGAAACAAAUCCACCUCCAAUCUCUGUACCACCACAAUAUUCGAUAAUAGGCUUGUAGUGAGCUCUUCCCAUCAACCACAAGUAUUCGUCUACAUUAGAUGCUUCACCAGUGGAGCCAAAGCAACGAAUAGCAGACCAAUCAUAGCCGGCUGUGGAAUUUGCACUUUUCCAUGUCCGGACAAUACUUGGGAUCACACCCAACAUUGUUACUUUAGCAUCCUGUACAAACUUGGCAAAGCCAGAACCUAGGGGCGAUCCAUUAUAUAAAGCUAUGCAAGCCCCAUUUAAUAGUGACGCAUAUACAAGCCAAGGACCCAUCAUCCAUCCAAGGUUAGUGGGCCAAGCAACAACAUCACCUCUGCGGAUAUCCAUGUGGCACCAUGCAUCUGCAGCAGCUUUGAAAGGGGUUGCAUUGGUCCAUGGAAUUGCCUUCGGAUCCCCUGUAGUUCCAGAUGAGAAGAGGAUGUUUGUAAAUGCUUCUAUUGGUUGUUCUACAGCAGCAAAUUCAUCUCCUCUUAUAUUCUCAACUCUUUCUAGGAAAUCAUGCCAAGAAAUGUCUCCACCUCGCAAUUUCAUGCUGAAGCUAGAACCUUUUGUAGGAAUAACAAUUGCCAUAGGUGAUUGAGCAUCCACAACUCUACUGUAUAAGGGAAUACUUUUGUCACCACGAAUUAUAAGAUCCUGAGUAAAUAUGGCUUUUGCUUCUGAAAUUUUAAGCCUUGUUGACAUCUCCGGUGAAGCAAAACUAUCAGCAAUAGAUACAACUGCAUAUCCUGCCAGAACAAUGGCUAGGUAGAUGACCACAGACUUGACAUUCAUUGGCAUAUCAAUGGCAAUUGCAGAUCCUCUGUCCAAACCCAGUGUGUUGAGUGCAUAUGCAACUAACCAAACCUCAGUGCGCAAUUCGCCAAGUGUCAUGCUGCUUAAAGGCAGAUCAUCACUUCCUUCAUCACGCCAUGUUAUUACCGUAUCAUCCAAAGUUCUUUCACGAUUCAAGCUCAAGCAAUUCCUUGCAGGAUUGACAUAUGCUCCAGGAAGCCAUUGCCCACCUGGGCUUUCUGGAUUUUCAAGUAAAAUACAUUGGGGAGGCACUGAAAAUGAUAUGCUCAUUUCAUCCAGCACAGUUUUCCAAUAAACCUCAGGGUUGGAAACAGAAAAUUCCUGAAAAGCAGAGAAACUCGAUAUGGGAUCCACAUAGAGCGAACCCAGAAACUCUUUUCCACGCCUCUCUAAAAGUUGGCCUACAUUUGUCAAUGCUGCAGUCUUCGGGUCAGGAGACCAAGCAGCCGGAUCGGAGCCGAAGUCCUUGUAGCAGGCAUAGAACAUCAUCCGAUGAAGGGAAAAAGGUAGGUCAGGAUUAAGGACGUGUUUGGAGAUAUGGGUCCAUGUUUGGGGAGUGGAAGCACCGUAAUUAGCGAUAAUAUCGGCGACAUCUUUGUAGAGCUUGUCCGCUAGUUUGGAAGAUAUGCCGAGAGCUUCAAUAUCGGAGACGGAGAUAGCGUCUAGGGCCUUAUAAGAAGACAUUGGAUUCGAGCGAGAGAGAGAUUGAAGAGAAGGGGACUAGGUUAGCGUGAGAAGAGCGCAGAUGACGCUGAUGCUCUAAAGCAGGAGGAGAGUGAGAGUGAGAAUGAC